CAGAAAGGGAAAUGCCACGCUCAGGCGCUUCCCUCUACAUCAAGACCCUGAAGGCCAUGGACACAAUGCUGAGGACACUGGUGCUCAGCUUUCCUGUCUCCAGUGUCAGCCAGGAGCUGCAGGACAUCUUUGAGAUGCUGCUGGACUUCACCAAGUCUGAGAGAGAAGUUGUGCAGGAGAGGGCUCUGGGGAGGAUCGGUGUCCUUACUUAUUUGAUGUCCAAC
Molecule: long non-coding RNA, 224 nt
Organism: Corvus hawaiiensis (hawaiian crow)
Lineage: Eukaryota; Metazoa; Chordata; Aves; Passeriformes; Corvidae
Exons: 3
Source: RefSeq, a predicted model, not a curated record